Long non-coding RNA from Brienomyrus brachyistius, 2279 nucleotides. RefSeq lists it as uncharacterized. NCBI's taxonomy places the organism in Eukaryota, Metazoa, Chordata, Actinopteri, Osteoglossiformes, Mormyridae. The record is from RefSeq and is a predicted model, not a curated record. The transcript is spliced from 4 exons.
UGGGGGCGCGCGCGCGGUGUUUUGAAUUACAAAAACAACAGCUACAGCAAUGGGAGAGCCGUGUCGGGGAACAAAGGAGGGUUGAAAUUUAAUUAGCCAGCUGGCUGACGACUGCCGCAAACCGGAAUUAGCCGCUCGGCGAGCCUGUCGCUAUCCACGAAGAAGAAUGUUUUUUAAGAAAGUGCAACCACGAGCCACAAAAAGAAAGUUGAGCGUAGUUCAGCCAUGUAAAAACAGAAAUACACCAUUUCAGUCGAAAUUAUUAGUCAGAUGAACAAGAGUAACUACAUUUAUUGUCUCCCUGCCGAAACAUUAAUUUUCCCCGUUUGAUAUUUUCGCCGGUAUUCGUGUCCGUGAAGACAGAUAGUUAAAGCCGUGCGCUUCGCUGAGCCAGACGGCCCCCAGCCAGCCGUGGCGUACCACGCCGGUGACACCUCUCCGCGCCGGCCCACAUGGCGCGCAGCGGGAAAGCGCCUGUCAGCUGCCGCUUCCUCCCGCCCUCUGUUUUGAUGCUAUGAAGAAACGGGUGGGGCUUCCAGUAGCCAGUGGUUAACUGACUCUCACCCCCCAGGAGAAACACCGAAACGUGUCAUUAAAGCCGUCGCAAAGCACUGUUAGCUGAAGCAGCCUAUUGGCACACACACUGAAAUUCCUUGAAAAUGGCUAAUAAAGCACAACAGAAAUUUAAGUCACUUGAUUGGGUCAUGUGGCAUCUUUGAAAACAGGAGUUUGCUUGCAUGCAGAACAAAGCCAGGAAAAAGGCCAUACACAGCACUGGAGCUAAUCCGUUCUCUGCCCUCCAGUCCAGCACACCACAGGAAGUAAGGCAAUCUGUCUGUGUUUAUCUCUUGUCCUGAGCUGAUGGGGUCUCGCAGAGUCCAGCAACCAGACGCCAUCAGAGCGCCAAACCAGCAAGCCCAAACUGUUACACGGCCUUCCCAUCUGUCGGUGCUGAGCAACACUCAAGUCUUCAGAUGAGUCAAACAUGAGGAAAUAGUUUUUUGAACGCAUUGCACAAUUUUGGGGUGCUGCAUUAUUUUAUUUGGAACUGUUUAUGUGUAGAUUUGCUUUAACCAUCAGUCCAAAAUGUUGUGUUUUGGUUUUGCAGUGUUAAGUACACCCCUUUAGAUUCUCAUUCAUGGUAUUUUAUGGCACCAGACAUCCCCCACAGCCAGCGCUACUUAUUAUGAAAGGACAGUUCUCUUUGUAUACGUAAUUUUUUUCCAUAUUAAUUGCUGGAUCAUGGAUUGGUAUGGUGAUGCGGCGAUUAGCACUUUUGCUUCACACUUGCAGGGAUGUGUGUAAGGAGUUUGCGUGUUCUCCCCGUGUUGUCAUGGGGUCCCCCCCACAGUCCAGAAAUAUGGUGAGGUUAUUUGGAGUUAUCAAAUUGCCCAUAGGUGUGAAAGGUAUGUGAGUGUGCCAUUUGAUGGGCUGGUGCCCCAUCUUGGGUUGUUCACUGCCUGUAGCCUCUGGACCCCCUGUGACCCUGAAUAUGGCAAGCAGUUAUGGAAGAUGGAUGGAUGCUAGAUUGCUUCUCUGUAUGCUUCGAAUGUGGCAUUAUGGCUCAGCUGGCAGCCUUUUUACACCAAAGCUUCUGUGUGUGGGCGAUUUUGCACGUUCUUCCUGUGUUACAAUGAAACAAACUGCUAUUUAGGUGAACUAGUGAAUCUGAAAACAGUUCUCUUCUUGUGGAUUAAGUCUAACAGGUAUCCUUCCUGUAUUUUCAAUAUGGCUGUAAGCUUGAAUGGCACUUGUAAGGAACCUGAAAAUUAAUAUUCUUAAUGACAAACACCUGGUUUUAAAACGCAACUUCUGAGUCAUGUUUAAGGUGGCACGCUUUUCGUUAACUGGUAAGACAAGACCUGUAGGAAACACAAGUGGCAGAGUUAAGAAAUUCUGAGUUAAUGUUAUUAAGUGUUAGUUUGCAGUGAGAUCUGGUGCCUUUUCCCUGGGAUUCCUGUCCCGUUGACUUCUCUUGUUGUGAGCUCAGACUGUCUGUAUAACAUCUCGUUCUGUAAGAAAAACCCUCAAACCCAAGGACUUUGCAGCAACGUUUAAAUACACCAGUGCACUAUAGCUGGUUUUAAUUUUUUUAAUCCAGAAUGUUAAUGUGUUACAGUAUUCACUUGUUGGUGGAAUAGGGGGUUUAUGACAAACCUCUGCAUGUCUGGACCUGAAAUGAAGAGCUUGAUGUGAUAUAUGAUAUUGAUGUGAGGUAUGAGUAGGAAUGAUGUUCAGAUUGUUUUUGACAAAUGUUGAUAAAGCAAAGCAUUAUUUUA